GACGAACGCUGGCGGCGCGCCUAACACAUGCAAGUCGAACGGAGCUUAGAGAGCUUGCUUUUUAAGCUUAGUGGCGAACGGGUGAGUAACGCGUGAGUAACCUGCCCUGGAGUGGGGGACAACAGUUGGAAACGACUGCUAAUACCGCAUAAGCCCACGGUACCGCAUGGCACUGAGGGAAAAGGAUUUAUUCGCUUUAGGAUGGACUCGCGUCCAAUUAGCUAGUUGGUGAGGUAACGGCCCACCAAGGCGACGAUUGGUAGCCGGACUGAGAGGUUGAACGGCCACAUUGGGACUGAGACACGGCCCAGACUCCUACGGGAGGCAGCAGUGGGGGAUAUUGCACAAUGGGGGGAAACCCUGAUGCAGCGACGCCGCGUGGAGGAAGAAGGUUUUCGGAUUGUAAACUCCUGUCGUUAGGGACGAUAAUGACGGUACCUAACAAGAAAGCACCGGCUAACUAUGUG
This 467-nucleotide ribosomal RNA is filed under the name uncultured bacterium. Its description in RNAcentral is "bacterial SSU rRNA". It matches the Rfam family "Bacterial small subunit ribosomal RNA", at positions 28 to 507 of the family's 1533-position model. The record is from RNAcentral.